CGCGCAGGCGGGCGGGAAAGUCUCUCGUGAAAGCCCACGGCUCAACCGUGGAAUUGCGGGAGAUACUACUCGUCUUGAGUCCGGGAGAGGAGUGUGGAAUUCCCAGUGUAGCGGUGAAAUGCGUAGAUAUUGGGAGGAACACCGGUGGCGAAGGCGGCACUCUGGACCGGUACUGACGCUGAGGCGCGAAAGCUAGGGGAGCAAACG
Molecule: ribosomal RNA, 207 nt
Filed under: uncultured bacterium
Lineage: Bacteria
Description: partial 16S ribosomal RNA
Rfam family: Bacterial small subunit ribosomal RNA
Source: RNAcentral